Molecule: ribosomal RNA, 493 nt
Filed under: uncultured bacterium
Lineage: Bacteria
Description: bacterial SSU rRNA
Rfam family: Bacterial small subunit ribosomal RNA
Source: RNAcentral
UCGAGCGAGACCAGAGCUUCGGCUCUGGGGACAGCGGCGAACGGGUGAGUAACACGUGGGUAAUCUGCCCUCGGCAUCGGGAUAGCCCGGGGAAACCCGGAUUAAUACCGAAUGGCCUCUCGCACUCUCGGGUGCGAAAGAAAAGGUGGCUUCGGCUUCUGGCCGAGGAUGAGCCCGCGGCCGAUUAGCUUGUUGGUGGGGUAAUGGCUCACCAAGGCUCCGAUCGGUAGCUGGUCUGAGAGGACGAUCAGCCACACUGGGACUGAGACACGGCCCAGACUCCUACGGGAGGCAGCAGUGGGGAAUCUUGCGCAAUGGGCGAAAGCCUGACGCAGCGACGCCGCGUGCGGGAAGAAGGCCUUCGGGUUGUAAACCGCUUUCAGGAGGGACGAAGCCACUCGCGUUAAUAGCGUAGAGGGUGACGGUACCUCCAGAAGAAGCCCCGGCUAACUACGUGCCAGCAGCCGCGGUAAUACGUAGGGGGCUAGCGUUG